GCAUUGGUGGCUCAGUGGUAGAGCUUCCGCCUGCCACGCUGGCGGCAAGGGUUUGUAUCCUGGCCAAUGCC
RNAcentral lists this transfer RNA (71 nucleotides) under Anguilla anguilla (European eel). It matches the Rfam family "tRNA". Rfam says of the family: Transfer RNA (tRNA) molecules are approximately 80 nucleotides in length. The record is from Rfam by way of RNAcentral. Lineage: Eukaryota; Metazoa; Chordata; Actinopteri; Anguilliformes; Anguillidae.